RNAcentral lists this ribosomal RNA (798 nucleotides) under Escherichia coli. Its description in RNAcentral is "partial 23S ribosomal RNA". It matches the Rfam family "Bacterial large subunit ribosomal RNA", at positions 418 to 1218 of the family's 2925-position model. Lineage: Bacteria; Pseudomonadati; Pseudomonadota; Gammaproteobacteria; Enterobacterales; Enterobacteriaceae. The record is from RNAcentral.
CGGGACACGUGGUAUCCUGUCUGAAUAUGGGGGGACCAUCCUCCAAGGCUAAAUACUCCUGACUGACCGAUAGUGAACCAGUACCGUGAGGGAAAGGCGAAAAGAACCCCGGCGAGGGGAGUGAAAAAGAACCUGAAACCGUGUACGUACAAGCAGUGGGAGCCUCUUAAUGGGGUGACUGCGUACCUUUUGUAUAAUGGGUCAGCGACUUAUAUUCUGUAGCAAGGUUAACCGAAUAGGGGAGCCGAAGGGAAACCGAGUCUUAACUGGGCGUUAAGUUGCAGGGUAUAGACCCGAAACCCGGUGAUCUAGCCAUGGGCAGGUUGAAGGUUGGGUAACACUAACUGGAGGACCGAACCGACUAAUGUUGAAAAAUUAGCGGAUGACUUGUGGCUGGGGGUGAAAGGCCAAUCAAACCGGGAGAUAGCUGGUUCUCCCCGAAAGCUAUUUAGGUAGCGCCUCGUGAAUUCAUCUCCGGGGGUAGAGCACUGUUUCGGCAAGGGGGUCAUCCCGACUUACCAACCCGAUGCAAACUGCGAAUACCGGAGAAUGUUAUCACGGGAGACACACGGCGGGUGCUAACGUCCGUCGUGAAGAGGGAAACAACCCAGACCGCCAGCUAAGGUCCCAAAGUCAUGGUUAAGUGGGAAACGAUGUGGGAAGGCCCAGACAGCCAGGAUGUUGGCUUAGAAGCAGCCAUCAUUUAAAGAAAGCGUAAUAGCUCACUGGUCGAGUCGGCCUGCGCGGAAGAUGUAACGGGGCUAAACCAUGCACCGAAGCUGCGGCAGCGACACUAUG